RNAcentral lists this ribosomal RNA (522 nucleotides) under Arigomphus villosipes. RNAcentral's name for it is "SSU rRNA". It matches the Rfam family "Eukaryotic small subunit ribosomal RNA", at positions 631 to 1126 of the family's 1831-position model. Lineage: Eukaryota; Metazoa; Arthropoda; Insecta; Odonata; Gomphidae. The record is from RNAcentral.
UAGUCGGAGGUGUGUCUCGGACGGUCGGUUCGCCGCUUGUCGGUGCUCAACUGGCCGGUCCGGACGUCCUGCCGGUGGGGCUGUAAAAGGCUUCGUUAUCCUUCUUUGGUCCUCUUCAUUGAGUGCCUUGGUGGGCCGGCACGUUUACUUUGAACAAAUUAGAGUGCUCAAAGCAGGCCGUUGGUCGCCUGAAUACUGUGUGCAUGGAAUAAUGGAAUAGGACCUCGGUUCCAUUUUGUUGGUUUUCAGAACUCGAGGUAAUGAUUAAUAGGGACGGACGGGGGCAUUCGUAUUGCGACGUUAGAGGUGAAAUUCUUGGAUCGUCGCAAGACGAACCGAUGCGAAAGCAUUUGCCAAGAACGUUUUCGUUGAUCAAGAACGAAAGUUAGAGGUUCGAAGGCGAUCAGAUACCGCCCUAGUUCUAACCAUAAACGAUGCCAGCUAGCCAUCCGCCGAAGUUCCUUAUAUGACUCGGCGGGCAGCUUCCGGGAAACCAAAGCUCUUGGGUUCCGGGGGAAGUAU